AAUCAACGCUGGCGGCGUGCCUAACACAUGCAAGUCGAACGAGAAGGUGACUUCGGUCACUGGAUAGUGGCGUCCGGGUGAGUAACACGUAGGUAAUCUACCUUCGGGUGGGGAAUAACGUCUCGAAAGAGACGCUAAUACCGCAUAAUGCAGCGGCACCUAAUGGUGAUUAGUUGUUAAAGCGGGGGAUCUUCGGACCUCGCGCCUGAAGAGGAGCCUGCGCAGAUUAGCUAGUUGGUGAGGUAAUGGCUCACCAAGGCUUCGAUCUGUAGCUGGUCUGAGAGGACGGCCAGCCACACUGGCACUGACACACGGGCCAGACUCCUACGGGAGGCAGCAGUGGGGAAUUUUGGGCAAUGGGCGAAAGCCUGACCCAGCAACGCCGCGUGAAGGAGGAAAUCCUUCGGGAUGUAAACUUCG
This 420-nucleotide ribosomal RNA is filed under the name uncultured bacterium. Its description in RNAcentral is "bacterial SSU rRNA". It matches the Rfam family "Bacterial small subunit ribosomal RNA", at positions 32 to 434 of the family's 1533-position model. The record is from RNAcentral.